RNAcentral lists this ribosomal RNA (409 nucleotides) under bacterium. RNAcentral describes it as "partial 16S ribosomal RNA". It matches the Rfam family "Bacterial small subunit ribosomal RNA", at positions 355 to 776 of the family's 1533-position model. The record is from RNAcentral.
UGGGGAAUAUUGCACAAUGGGCGAAAGCCUGAUGCAGCGACGCCGCGUGAGGGAUGACGGCCUUCGGGUUGUAAACCUCUUUCAGUAGGGACGAAGCGCAAGUGACGGUACCUGCAGAAGAAGCACCGGCUAACUACGUGCCAGCAGCCGCGGUAAUACGUAGGGCGCGAGCGUUGUCCGGAAUUACUGGGCGUAAAGAGCUCGUAGGCGGUUUGUCACGUCGUCUGUGAAAUCCUAGGGCUUAACCCUGGACGUGCAGGCGAUACGGGCUGACUUGAGUACUAGAGGGGAGACUGGAAUUUCUGGUGUAGCGGUGGAAUGCACAGAUAUCAGGAAGAACACCGAGGGCGAAGGCAGGUCUCUGGGUAGUAACUGACGCUGAGGAGCGAAAGCAUGGGUAGCGAACAGG